UGAUUUGUGAUUCCAUUUGAGGCAUUCACACUAUUGGUGCUUGGCUCUCAAACUCCAAACAAUCAACCAUCAUCAAAAGGUAUGUAUUUCUACUAGUACUUUUAUGAUUCAUAAUCCUUAUGCUAUGCUAGUUAGGAAGAAACCUUGGAAGUUAUUAUUUGCAUGUAUUUUAGAAGAAAACAUAGAUCCAAGGUUUAUUAGGGUUGCAUGCACACUUAGGAAGUGUUAGAUUGCUCAAAACCCAACAGUGGUAUCAGAGCCUAGGCUUGCUUGUUUGAUACUUGAUGCAAAAUAGUGAAAAAAGUUGAAAUUGUUGCUGUCUGGCUGAUGGACUCGCCGAGUCCAUGGGGGGACUCGCCGAGUUCAAGGCAAAAUUCAUCCUACUCGGCGAGUAGGUUCGUGCACUCGGCGAGUAGAAUGAUCAGAAUGCAGAAUUUCGACUUUUGCUGCUGGAAAUGGACUAGAAACAUUACCCUAAACUGUUUUGGUGUUUUAAAACUUGUUUUAGUUGGUGUAAUGGUUGUUCUAAUCCAUUUACAAUAGCAUAUAUCAAAAUUCCAUGAUUUUUAUGUGUUCAUAUAAUUCUUGAAAUUUUGAUGAUCAUGUUCAUGUUCUUAUGAAUUUAGAAGAUGAUAGGAAUUAUUUGCUGAAUUGUUUAGAAUUAAUUCUUGAUCAUUUAUGUGUUUUAAUGGAGUCCAUAAUUUGUCCUCAAGUUAUGGAUAUCCAAAGGUCACUUUUCUUUAACACACACAUUUAAACACAUAAGUUACAUGAAAAUGAAGAGUCUUCAUUUUUAUGAACCUUUAAUUCAUAAGUUAUGAAAUGAAAAGUUUUGGAUAGUUACAAAACUUGCCCUCAAGUUUUGGAAUUUGAAAAGUUUCACACACUUUAAUAAACUUUAAUUCCAACACUUAGAGUUUUAAAAGUUAAAAUUCAACACUUAUACUAUUUAUAACAUUAAUGGUUAAUUAUUAUAUAUAUGUAUAAGAACAAGUCGUUUUACCGUUAGUAGGCCUCAUUCACGAAGCCGGUCUAUAAGGUGGGUAUAAGGUUGUUGCCUAUAAAAUGGCGACUUAAUGGGUGUCCACUCUCACCCACCGCUUGCUUGAUCGGUGGAGGGUCGUUAGCCGAACGGGUAGGACAAUGACUUUAAAUUCUCAUUAAAAGUAUAAUGAUUAUUAUAAAGUAACUAAAAAUUUUUUAUUUAAUUCCCAAUCUUAGUUACUUUAGGAAAAAUGUGAAUUUGGUGCUAGCCCAUGGAAUUCACACUUUGUACCUUACCAAGUCGUUGGUGGAGCGUGUGUGGUUAACCGGCACACUAACUUGGACUAGUAAGGAUCACGAAGGGUGACUUAAUGUUUGUCAUAGAUCAAUGGAGCGUGUGUGGUUAACCGGCACAUUGAUUAGGUGAUAAUAUUAAGGGUACCAAGUGAAUUGGUAUGGUUAUUCACACCUUGUUUUGUGAUCCUCGGCAUCCCAGUCACAAAAUUUGAGAGGGCACACUCGAGAUUGAAACAUGCCAUUGAAAAGUUCAAUGAAUCUCAAAAGAUCUAGGAAUUUCAAAUCCAAUUAAAACCUAAUAAAUUAUUUCGUUUUUCAUGGUGGAAAUUGGUGAAUCGUCAUUCGCCUACCUUCAAAUAUUUUAUAGCUUGGAUUACGGCAUCCCUCUUCCAAAUUAUAAAAUAUUGUGUUGGGUCCUAGCCUUAAUAUUUCAUAUUGGGUGUUAUAUUAAGGACUUUGAAUCAACUAACUUGAUUUUCUCCCAUUAUAGAUGUCUGGUUCAGACAACUAUGAUCUUCCCAAAUCUCUUGAAGAUGGUGUCCCUCAACAUCAUGCUUCACUUCCUCCACCUCCUCCAAUUAUUCUCCCUCACCCACAAGUUCUUGAAAAGUUUAAAGUCACUCAAUCCCUAUUGGCAAGCAUAGUCUAUGUGUGCUCACAUCUUGGAGAUAAAGUCACAUAUUGACAAGCCGGGAGAGUUGGGUGUCAAAGUCUCGUGAAAGUUGGAUGUUCAAUCACUUUCUUAGUAACAUAGUGAGUCUCUUUGGGACUACUAUGAGACAGACUAUGACAUGACCCUUAAUGAUGUUAUCUAUUUGCUUGGUGUUGUGGAAUCAGCAAUGAUUUGGAACACCAGUAAAGCAAAUUUGAUUAAAAGAACAACUUCCCAAGUCUUAAAUGGACAUUGACAAUGGUAGCAUUGGAUAUCUAGAAAAGGAUUUCUCUUCCCAAUGGAAAGGGAUCGGCCAUAGUCAACUCGGUUGACCAAAUGGUAAAGAGAAAGGCUAAGUCUGAGAUAGUCUCAUGUGCCAUUACCAAAGGGUCCAUGUGUUUUGUUGCCAAAGGAAGGGGCAUUGGUUGCGAAGCUGCCCUAUUCACCUGAAAGGUCAUAAGGUUGAUCAAGUCAAGAGGUUUGACUCUACUUCGGGUAAAGUCCACUGUCUAACUCUAUUAAGUUCCUAUUUGGAGAUUCUUAUUACAUAAUGUGAAUGGGUCACAUGCUGAUGUUUUUAAGAAUCAAAGAAAAGAUAGGAAGCUUAAAGUAAGUAUAUGUUGAUUCUGAUUGCGAAGGUGGGUUUCGAUCGCAUGGUUCGGUAAUCAGAAUUUUGAGCUGUUGCUUAAGAGUUAUAAUAUAUUGCUUAUGAAUAGAUAACAACAAGGUUUUCAUGUGGAUUGUAAGGAUAAGUUUUUCCGCAAAGUUUUAAAAAAAAAAAAAAAAAGGGUUUUAAUUUUAUUUAUUUUAAAAAUAUCCUUACAAUGGCAUCUGUGGAAAAUUGUUGCUUAUAUGUUUCCAGUAAUAGCAAUAUUGGAAAGUGGAUUUGAUUCUUUCAUUUGUGGUAGUGUCUGAAUUUACCAAAUGAAGAAAGUUUUUCAUCACCCAAGUUUCAAUUGGACAGAAACUUGGAAUCAUACAAGUUGUAUUGUAUGAUGAAUGAGAAUUUUCAUCUUUGAAAAUUAAGACUAAUUCUUUGAUCACAUGUAUAUGUGAGUCAAUUGAAGGACUAAGGAAUUAGGUACACUGGGUGUGCGCUGGUCAAGGUCCACCACAAAGAUUGAUUUGUCAUGAUUUACUAAAGAUUAGUAAAUAUGAUUAUACUUAUGAGGUUAAGUAUAAUUCUGUAACAUUGGAAAGGUUACAAUGUAUGACAAAACAAAUGAGAAGAAUCAAAUUAGGCAGAAAGAUAAAAGUUUCUCAAAUCUGAAAGGAUGGGAGAGUACUUUAGUAUCGUAUUUCAUGAUCAUCUUAAUGAUUAUGAAACCAUAUCACAAAUUCAUACUCUAAGGACGUCUUAGUGCAUUGUUAUGGCUAAGAAGAGAGGUCAUGAAUUGUUGGAUUGGUUAAAAUCAAGAAGAUGAGUCAUACUUCGUUCCAAAACAAUUCUUAGAGUCAUACUCCAAGAUUGUAACUUUGAGUGACAUAAAGGAAGAUUUAUUAACACUAGUCAAAUGUAAGAGUAAAAUGUUUUCUACUCUUGUACAUUUGAGAUUGGUAAGUUGUGAUGUCUUGGAUGAGACAAAGACCAACUAAGACCAAUUGUGUGAAGUGUUAGUCUUGAUAAGAAUCCGCACUAUCCCUUGAAUAUUUGUUUUGUCAAGGAAUGGUUCUUGACUGGGGAAACUUAUAUGUCAAGGGGACAGUGGGAGCCUUAAAGAUCCUGAAAGAGUUUCAAGAUUUAAUCAAGAGUAAAACCUGUAAUUUAUCACUAGCACACGACUUAAGGUUUGCAACCUAUCGUGUUGACAUAAUUCUUAUUUCUGUACCUACUUCAAAUAAGUUGAAUUUGCAUGUGAGUUAUCAGAGUUCAACUUGGAAGCAUUGGUGGGCCUUGUGCUACCAAGGUGACAAGAAACUAAGAUUGAACAAGUUUAAUCCAUGUAAGGCUGAAUUUGUCACUAACCUUAUCUUGUGAUUAUGGUUUUGACAAAUUCACAUGGAUAGGAACUCAUACACUAUAAAAUCUAAGUGUCAUAAGGUUUCUCUCCGAUUCAUGAAAAUGAUGGUGAGGAAACGCUUUCACUAAGUAGAUUUUACGUAGAUAUCAAUUGUGUUAUUUGCAUUUUCAAAAGUCGUUAGUGGAGCGCGUGUGGUUAACCGGCACACUAACAUGGACUUGUGAGAAAUGGCAAAUGCCUAAGCAAUUGAGACUAUGAUUACGGCAUCCCUUUUCAUAGUUCUGAAAAUUGUUUAGACACACAUGUGAGCUAUCUAAGAAAGGGUGUAUGAAUCUAAAUUUCAGAAGUCCAGCAGAUUUCUGGAAAUAUGUCAGAGCUAGUGGGAGCAUAAGUGUUAUGCUGAUAAUCAUCAUGUUAGUGGGAGCAUGAUUAUUACGUUUAGUGUUGCAAGUUAGCAAUGUUAAUUAUAGAAAACAAAGUUUCAAUUCGUGAAGUUGCAGGGGUUGAAAAGUUGUUUUGCUAUAAUUAAGGGAGAGGAAAUUAUACUUCAUUUCAAUUCUAAAGCUUAGAUUGAGAUUUUAAUCAUCUUUAGUCAAGAAUAUAUAUAUGAAUUUUAUGUUGGAAUGGUUCAACUUGAAGAAAUUCUAUAUAUAUUGCGUUUUCAAAAUUCGAUUAUGAUUACGGCAUCCCUCUUCAUAGUUAAAUUUUGAAAACAUGGCAAAUAAAAAAUAUUGUAGCAAAAGACUGGUCUAGUAUCAUGUCUUUAUGUCAAACAUCAUGAAUCGUGUCCCAUAUGCUUCGGAUAUAGGAUCGAUUGCAUGUGCUAUAAUAUUCAUCUUUUCUAAAUUUUCCAAAUGCUUAAGGCAUUGAGAAGGGAAAAGUCUAGAACUGGAUAUGACUAAAGUGAUUAAGCAAUUGUCGAGGACAAUCUGAGGUUCGCCAAAGAUUGGUUGCUCAGGGAAAGUUGGAAGUAUGAUGUAAGUUGUCGGAAAGGACCAUAUUGACAUAUUCUGAAAAGAAGUAACUCUUGUUCGGAAGUGAUAGUCAAAAUGGGACUAUGGAAAUGUCUCCAUAGGUGGAAGUUAUUCAAUCUAUGUAAGAUUAGAAAACCUUAAUGCAAGAAGGAUGUUCAAAGCAAUGUACUUUGAAUAUGAGACUUCCGUUCCAUAGAAGUUGACCUUCUUUGGAAUACUCUGUAAUGACUGGUGACAAGGUUUUGGUGACUUUGUGCAUAAUCAUUACAAGAGGAACAUUGCAUAAAAGUUUAAAAUCUAACAGAUUUUUUGGUAAAUGAUAGGAAUCGGGGAUUCUCACAUUUACAAUAAGGAUUUGGGAUUGUGAAAUGAGUAUCAUUGGAAUCAUGUUCAAUUGAUCUACAUCACAAUGUAAGGAUCAUAGACAAACAUAGUGUGCAUACUUGGAGUAUGGCAUAACUAUUGUUUAGAAAAACAAAGUGUACAUGCUAGGAGCAUGGGACGACUGUUGUUUUUAUUCAAGUCUUAAGUUGAUUGUUUGAAACAUUAUACAAUGAAUAAUGUGUAAUCAAUAUGGUGAUAAAUAAAAGGUGGUUCUAUUUAUAUUCAAAAGGGUUCUGAGACCAUAUUGGAUUCGAUUAUUAUUGUGUUUCACUUUGCAUGUUUUGACUUCCAAAAUAGCUAGGUUAUUCUUUCCGAAUGACUAAGUUAUUUAAACACUCCACAGUCGUUCAUAUGUUGGAAGUAGGUAUGAAUCAAGACUGUCAUGAAUCGAGUUUGUAGAUGGCUAAAUGGGUUUAGUCAUAGCAAUGGUUGCUACAACAUUCAUGAGUGCUCAUAAGUUAUGAGUAUUGGAAUAAACCCACGCUCACUUGUAUCACUUCAUGGAAUUUAUCUCGAGUGAUCGUGAGACGGUAAUAUCAUAUAAAUCUUCAAACCUAGAGAUAUGAGUUGUUACCUAUGAGUUGGUUGUGCAUUGAUUGCACGUAAACGCAUCAGUAACUUGAUGUUAUAAAACGUGCCUUUGUGUACAAUUCAACAAGUAGUAGAACAAGCAUAUGAGUCGAAGUUUAUCUGUUCCUUCUAGAAAUAGAAGCGAUAUCUGGGCCCCUCGAUGAUUUUGUUGUGACCUAUGUACCGGCCGGUCAGAACUAAAUUGAUGUGUUCGAUUAAGUUCUUUGUCAAACAAAUCGAAAAUCGGGAAACAAACUGCUGGACAAUAAGUACGACGUUGUUCCAUGUAUUUGUCCGGCUGAUAUCAUGAGAACAGAGGAUUAUAUGAUCACUUAUCUAAAAUGGCGCUUCAUAGUUCAACAGAGUUUUCGAGAGCUACGAUUGCUGGUUGGUUCCUGAAGUAACAUACGCAAAUAUAGUUAUUAGACUUAUCCAAGUGGGAGUCUGUUGGAUAAGGUGUCUAAGUCCAUAACUUAUUUGGUAUAUACUUGACCCGACCCGGCAUGGUCCAUUUGGGUUGCAUCUCACCCGAACUAUUUAUGGAUAAUUUUAUGAGAGUUAUACACAUAUGUUUAUUAAUAUAUUAUAAGUUAUAAUAUAUUAAUAUGAAGUUAUGUUAUUUAAUUAGUCUUAGUCUUAAAUUAAUUAUGAAUUAAUUUAGAGAUUAAAAGGAAGACUAAUUAGAUUAUGGGCUAUUGGUUUUAUAUGGUGUGGGCUAACACUCAUUUGUUAAUGGGCUAGGCUUAUAUGGAAGUCCAUGGAUGAUCCAUGGAGCUUUUAACCCAUGGAUCCUUGGAAAAGGAAAGGUCAUGGGUUAUUAGGGUUUCACCCUAACCAUGCACACUAUAUAAGCAUGCUUAUGGAGCAUGAAAUGGCAACUAGUGAACUAGUGUGUGUGUGCUUGUGUGUGGCCAAAAAUACAAGUGUGUAUACUCUCUCAAAGUUUUCCAAGAGUUUGUGGUGUUUUGUGAUUCCAUUUGAGGCAUUCACACUAUUGGUGCUUGGCCCUCAAACUCCUUAAGAACCAAACUCAUCAAAAAGGUAUGUAAUCUCUUCUAACUCUUUUAUGUUGAAAUGUUCCCCAUGCCAUGUUAGAUAGGUUAUGAACCUUGGAAAAUUAUUAUUUUGCAUGUAUUUAGACAAACAUAGAUCCAAGGUUUAUUAGGGUUGCAUGCACACUUAGGAAGUGUUAGAUUGCUCAAAACCCAACAGUGGUAUCAGAGCCUAGGCUUGCUUGUUUGAUACUUGAUGCAAAAUAGUGAAAAAAGUUGAAAUUGUUGCUGUCUGGCUGAUGGACUCGCCGAGUCCAUGGGGGGACUCGCCGAGUUCAAGGCAAAAUUCAUCCUACUCGGCGAGUAGGUUCGUGCACUCGGCGAGUAGAAUGAUCAGAAUGCAGAAUUUCGACUUUUGCUGCUGGAAAUGGACUAGAAACAUUACCCUAAACUGUUUUGGUGUUUUAAAACUUGUUUUAGUUGGUGUAAUGGUUGUUCUAAUCCAUUUACAAUAGCAUAUAUCAAAAUUCCAUGAUUUUUAUGUGUUCAUAUAAUUCUUGAAAUUUUGAUGAUCAUGUUCAUGUUCUUAUGAAUUUAGAAGAUGAUAGGAAUUAUUUGCUGAAUUGUUUAGAAUUAAUUCUUGAUCAUUUAUGUGUUUUAAUGGAGUCCAUAAUUUGUCCUCAAGUUAUGGAUAUCCAAAGGUCACUUUUCUUUAACACACACAUUUAAACACAUAAGUUACAUGAAAAUGAAGAGUCUUCAUUUUUAUGAACCUUUAAUUCAUAAGUUAUGAAAUGAAAAGUUUUGGAUAGUUACAAAACUUGCCCUCAAGUUUUGGAAUUUGAAAAGUUUCACACACUUUAAUAAACUUUAAUUCCAACACUUAGAGUUUUAAAAGUUAAAAUUCAACACUUAUACUAUUUAUAACAUUAAUGGUUAAUUAUUAUAUAUAUGUAUAAGAACAAGUCGUUUUACCGUUAGUAGGCCUCAUUCACGAAGCCGGUCUAUAAGGUGGGUAUAAGGUUGUUGCCUAUAAAAUGGCGACUUAAUGGGUGUCCACUCUCACCCACCGCUUGCUUGAUCGGUGGAGGGUCGUUAGCCGAACGGGUAGGACAAUGACUUUAAAUUCUCAUUAAAAGUAUAAUGAUUAUUAUAAAGUAACUAAAAAUUUUUUAUUUAAUUCCCAAUCUUAGUUACUUUAGGAAAAAUGUGAAUUUGGUGCUAGCCCAUGGAAUUCACACUUUGUACCUUACCAAGUCGUUGGUGGAGCGUGUGUGGUUAACCGGCACACUAACUUGGACUAGUAAGGAUCACGAAGGGUGACUUAAUGUUUGUCAUAGAUCAAUGGAGCGUGUGUGGUUAACCGGCACAUUGAUUAGGUGAUAAUAUUAAGGGUACCAAGUGAAUUGGUAUGGUUAUUCACACCUUGUUUUGUGAUCCUCGGCAUCCCAGUCACAAAAUUUGAGAGGGCACACUCGAGAUUGAAACAUGCCAUUGAAAAGUUCAAUGAAUCUCAAAAGAUCUAGGAAUUUCAAAUCCAAUUAAAACCUAAUAAAUUAUUUCGUUUUUCAUGGUGGAAAUUGGUGAAUCGUCAUUCGCCUACCUUCAAAUAUUUUAUAGCUUGGAUUACGGCAUCCCUCUUCCAAAUUAUAAAAUAUUGUGUUGGGUCCUAGCCUUAAUAUUUCAUAUUGGGUGUUAUAUUAAGGACUUUGAAUCAACUAACUUGAUUUUCUCCCAUUAUAGAUGUCUGGUUCAGACAACUAUGAUCUUCCCAAAUCUCUUGAAGAUGGUGUCCCUCAACAUCAUGCUUCACUUCCUCCACCUCCUCCAAUUAUUCUCCCUCACCCACAAGUUCUUGAAAAGUUUAAAGUCACUCAAUCCCUAUUGGCAAGCAUAGUCUAUGUGUGCUCACAUCUUGGAGAUAAAGUCACAUAUUGACAAGCCGGGAGAGUUGGGUGUCAAAGUCUCGUGAAAGUUGGAUGUUCAAUCACUUUCUUAGUAACAUAGUGAGUCUCUUUGGGACUACUAUGAGACAGACUAUGACAUGACCCUUAAUGAUGUUAUCUAUUUGCUUGGUGUUGUGGAAUCAGCAAUGAUUUGGAACACCAGUAAAGCAAAUUUGAUUAAAAGAACAACUUCCCAAGUCUUAAAUGGACAUUGACAAUGGUAGCAUUGGAUAUCUAGAAAAGGAUUUCUCUUCCCAAUGGAAAGGGAUCGGCCAUAGUCAACUCGGUUGACCAAAUGGUAAAGAGAAAGGCUAAGUCUGAGAUAGUCUCAUGUGCCAUUACCAAAGGGUCCAUGUGUUUUGUUGCCAAAGGAAGGGGCAUUGGUUGCGAAGCUGCCCUAUUCACCUGAAAGGUCAUAAGGUUGAUCAAGUCAAGAGGUUUGACUCUACUUCGGGUAAAGUCCACUGUCUAACUCUAUUAAGUUCCUAUUUGGAGAUUCUUAUUACAUAAUGUGAAUGGGUCACAUGCUGAUGUUUUUAAGAAUCAAAGAAAAGAUAGGAAGCUUAAAGUAAGUAUAUGUUGAUUCUGAUUGCGAAGGUGGGUUUCGAUCGCAUGGUUCGGUAAUCAGAAUUUUGAGCUGUUGCUUAAGAGUUAUAAUAUAUUGCUUAUGAAUAGAUAACAACAAGGUUUUCAUGUGGAUUGUAAGGAUAAGUUUUUCCGCAAAGUUUUAAAAAAAAAAAAAAAAAGGGUUUUAAUUUUAUUUAUUUUAAAAAUAUCCUUACAAUGGCAUCUGUGGAAAAUUGUUGCUUAUAUGUUUCCAGUAAUAGCAAUAUUGGAAAGUGGAUUUGAUUCUUUCAUUUGUGGUAGUGUCUGAAUUUACCAAAUGAAGAAAGUUUUUCAUCACCCAAGUUUCAAUUGGACAGAAACUUGGAAUCAUACAAGUUGUAUUGUAUGAUGAAUGAGAAUUUUCAUCUUUGAAAAUUAAGACUAAUUCUUUGAUCACAUGUAUAUGUGAGUCAAUUGAAGGACUAAGGAAUUAGGUACACUGGGUGUGCGCUGGUCAAGGUCCACCACAAAGAUUGAUUUGUCAUGAUUUACUAAAGAUUAGUAAAUAUGAUUAUACUUAUGAGGUUAAGUAUAAUUCUGUAACAUUGGAAAGGUUACAAUGUAUGACAAAACAAAUGAGAAGAAUCAAAUUAGGCAGAAAGAUAAAAGUUUCUCAAAUCUGAAAGGAUGGGAGAGUACUUUAGUAUCGUAUUUCAUGAUCAUCUUAAUGAUUAUGAAACCAUAUCACAAAUUCAUACUCUAAGGACGUCUUAGUGCAUUGUUAUGGCUAAGAAGAGAGGUCAUGAAUUGUUGGAUUGGUUAAAAUCAAGAAGAUGAGUCAUACUUCGUUCCAAAACAAUUCUUAGAGUCAUACUCCAAGAUUGUAACUUUGAGUGACAUAAAGGAAGAUUUAUUAACACUAGUCAAAUGUAAGAGUAAAAUGUUUUCUACUCUUGUACAUUUGAGAUUGGUAAGUUGUGAUGUCUUGGAUGAGACAAAGACCAACUAAGACCAAUUGUGUGAAGUGUUAGUCUUGAUAAGAAUCCGCACUAUCCCUUGAAUAUUUGUUUUGUCAAGGAAUGGUUCUUGACUGGGGAAACUUAUAUGUCAAGGGGACAGUGGGAGCCUUAAAGAUCCUGAAAGAGUUUCAAGAUUUAAUCAAGAGUAAAACCUGUAAUUUAUCACUAGCACACGACUUAAGGUUUGCAACCUAUCGUGUUGACAUAAUUCUUAUUUCUGUACCUACUUCAAAUAAGUUGAAUUUGCAUGUGAGUUAUCAGAGUUCAACUUGGAAGCAUUGGUGGGCCUUGUGCUACCAAGGUGACAAGAAACUAAGAUUGAACAAGUUUAAUCCAUGUAAGGCUGAAUUUGUCACUAACCUUAUCUUGUGAUUAUGGUUUUGACAAAUUCACAUGGAUAGGAACUCAUACACUAUAAAAUCUAAGUGUCAUAAGGUUUCUCUCCGAUUCAUGAAAAUGAUGGUGAGGAAACGCUUUCACUAAGUAGAUUUUACGUAGAUAUCAAUUGUGUUAUUUGCAUUUUCAAAAGUCGUUAGUGGAGCGCGUGUGGUUAACCGGCACACUAACAUGGACUUGUGAGAAAUGGCAAAUGCCUAAGCAAUUGAGACUAUGAUUACGGCAUCCCUUUUCAUAGUUCUGAAAAUUGUUUAGACACACAUGUGAGCUAUCUAAGAAAGGGUGUAUGAAUCUAAAUUUCAGAAGUCCAGCAGAUUUCUGGAAAUAUGUCAGAGCUAGUGGGAGCAUAAGUGUUAUGCUGAUAAUCAUCAUGUUAGUGGGAGCAUGAUUAUUACGUUUAGUGUUGCAAGUUAGCAAUGUUAAUUAUAGAAAACAAAGUUUCAAUUCGUGAAGUUGCAGGGGUUGAAAAGUUGUUUUGCUAUAAUUAAGGGAGAGGAAAUUAUACUUCAUUUCAAUUCUAAAGCUUAGAUUGAGAUUUUAAUCAUCUUUAGUCAAGAAUAUAUAUAUGAAUUUUAUGUUGGAAUGGUUCAACUUGAAGAAAUUCUAUAUAUAUUGCGUUUUCAAAAUUCGAUUAUGAUUACGGCAUCCCUCUUCAUAGUUAAAUUUUGAAAACAUGGCAAAUAAAAAAUAUUGUAGCAAAAGACUGGUCUAGUAUCAUGUCUUUAUGUCAAACAUCAUGAAUCGUGUCCCAUAUGCUUCGGAUAUAGGAUCGAUUGCAUGUGCUAUAAUAUUCAUCUUUUCUAAAUUUUCCAAAUGCUUAAGGCAUUGAGAAGGGAAAAGUCUAGAACUGGAUAUGACUAAAGUGAUUAAGCAAUUGUCGAGGACAAUCUGAGGUUCGCCAAAGAUUGGUUGCUCAGGGAAAGUUGGAAGUAUGAUGUAAGUUGUCGGAAAGGACCAUAUUGACAUAUUCUGAAAAGAAGUAACUCUUGUUCGGAAGUGAUAGUCAAAAUGGGACUAUGGAAAUGUCUCCAUAGGUGGAAGUUAUUCAAUCUAUGUAAGAUUAGAAAACCUUAAUGCAAGAAGGAUGUUCAAAGCAAUGUACUUUGAAUAUGAGACUUCCGUUCCAUAGAAGUUGACCUUCUUUGGAAUACUCUGUAAUGACUGGUGACAAGGUUUUGGUGACUUUGUGCAUAAUCAUUACAAGAGGAACAUUGCAUAAAAGUUUAAAAUCUAACAGUUUUUUUGGUAAAUGAUAGGAAUCGGGGAUUCUCACAUUUACAAUAAGGAUUUGGGAUUGUGAAAUGAGUAUCAUUGGAAUCAUGUUCAAUUGAUCUACAUCACAAUGUAAGGAUCAUAGACAAACAUAGUGUGCAUACUUGGAGUAUGGCAUAACUAUUGUUUAGAAAAACAAAGUGUACAUGCUAGGAGCAUGGGACGACUGUUGUUUUUAUUCAAGUCUUAAGUUGAUUGUUUGAAACAUUAUACAAUGAAUAAUGUGUAAUCAAUAUGGUGAUAAAUAAAAGGUGGUUCUAUUUAUAUUCAAAAGGGUUCUGAGACCAUAUUGGAUUCGAUUAUUAUUGUGUUUCACUUUGCAUGUUUUGACUUCCAAAAUAGCUAGGUUAUUCUUUCCGAAUGACUAAGUUAUUUAAACACUCCACAGUCGUUCAUAUGUUGGAAGUAGGUAUGAAUCAAGACUGUCAUGAAUCGAGUUUGUAGAUGGCUAAAUGGGUUUAGUCAUAGCAAUGGUUGCUACAACAUUCAUGAGUGCUCAUAAGUUAUGAGUAUUGGAAUAAACCCACGCUCACUUGUAUCACUUCAUGGAAUUUAUCUCGAGUGAUCGUGAGACGGUAAUAUCAUAUAAAUCUUCAAACCUAGAGAUAUGAGUUGUUACCUAUGAGUUGGUUGUGCAUUGAUUGCACGUAAACGCAUCAGUAACUUGAUGUUAUAAAACGUGCCUUUGUGUACAAUUCAACAAGUAGUAGAACAAGCAUAUGAGUCGAAGUUUAUCUGUUCCUUCUAGAAAUAGAAGCGAUAUCUGGGCCCCUCGAUGAUUUUGUUGUGACCUAUGUACCGGCCGGUCAGAACUAAAUUGAUGUGUUCGAUUAAGUUCUUUGUCAAACAAAUCGAAAAUCGGGAAACAAACUGCUGGACAAUAAGUACGACGUUGUUCCAUGUAUUUGUCCGGCUGAUAUCAUGAGAACAGAGGAUUAUAUGAUCACUUAUCUAAAAUGGCGCUUCAUAGUUCAACAGAGUUUUCGAGAGCUACGAUUGCUGGUUGGUUCCUGAAGUAACAUACGCAAAUAUAGUUAUUAGACUUAUCCAAGUGGGAGUCUGUUGGAUAAGGUGUCUAAGUCCAUAACUUAUUUGGUACAUACUUGACCCGACCCGGCAUGGUCCAUUUGGGUUGCACUUCACCCAAACGAUUUAUGGAUAAUUUUAUGAGAAUUGUAUACUUACGAUUUAUUAAUAUAUUAUAAGUUAUAAUAUAUUAAUAUGAAGUCAUGUUAUUUAAUUAGUUUUAGUCUUAAAUUAAUUAUGAAUUAAUUUAGAGAUUAAAAAGAAGACUGAUUAAAUUAUGGGCUAUUAUAUUUUAUAUAGUGUGGGCUAAUACUCAUUUGUUAAUGGGCUAAGCUAAUAUGGAAGUCCAUGGAUGGUCCAUGGAGCUUUUAACCCAUGGAUCCUUGGAAAGGAAAAGACAUGGGUUAUUAGGGUUUCACCCUAACCAUGCACACUAUAUAAAGAAGCAUAUGAUGCAAGAAAUGGGACACUAGUAGUGUGAGACUUAGUGGUGGCCGAUUCCACAAGAAAGUAUACUACUCUCUCAAAGUUUUCCAAGUGUUUGUGGUGAUUUGUGAUUCCAUUUGAGGCAUUCACACUAUUGGUGCUUGGCUCUCAAACUCCAAACAAUCAACCAUCAUCAAAAGGUAUGUAUUUCUACUAGUACUUUUAUGAUUCAUAAUCCUUAUGAUAUGCUAGUUAGGAAGAAACCUUGGAAGUUAUUAUUUGCAUUUAUUUUAGAAGAAAACAUAGAUCCAAGGUUUAUUAGGGUUACAUGCACACUUAGGAAGUGUUAGAUUGCUCAAAACCCAACAGUUUUGUAGCACAUGGUUCCUGGUAUGUAUUU
Molecule: long non-coding RNA, 13845 nt
Filed under: Lactuca sativa (garden lettuce)
Lineage: Eukaryota; Viridiplantae; Streptophyta; Magnoliopsida; Asterales; Asteraceae
Description: long non-coding RNA (LSAT_LNC002799)
Source: RNAcentral